Molecule: long non-coding RNA, 201 nt
Filed under: Sorghum bicolor (sorghum)
Lineage: Eukaryota; Viridiplantae; Streptophyta; Magnoliopsida; Poales; Poaceae
Description: long non-coding RNA (SBIC_LNC001508)
Source: RNAcentral
CUUGCUAUAAUUUUCAUAUAUUUUAUAUACUACUCCCUCCAUCCUAAAUAUAAGAGAUCUAAAGUUUAAAAUUAGUACAAAAAUAUAAUGUAUUUUUGUUUCUCAAACACCUCUCUCCUCCAUUUCUUAGUGCAUCUCCAGAAGUUUGGUAAAAUAACUUCCUAUCUUAUUUGUUAGCAAAAGAGAAAAAAAACUCCUCCA